Molecule: long non-coding RNA, 3250 nt
Organism: Equus asinus (donkey)
Lineage: Eukaryota; Metazoa; Chordata; Mammalia; Perissodactyla; Equidae
Source: Ensembl
CAACACCCUUCAUCUAACAAGGUCCAAGGCUUCCUGAACACUGCUUUGUAAGCUGCCUCGCAGACAAACCCUGUGAAACCUGAGGUCGCCACACCAGCGGCAGGAUGCAGGUCACUGGACCACGGCAGCCCACUCUGCAGUCAACAGUGCGGGUCACUUUACGCUGACAGAGCUGCUCUCCAGCACCUCCCCCGGCACACACACACCCAAAGCACAGGAGAGUGUCCAUUUCACAAGGUGUCCGGCACUGCUUUCCUUAAAACGAAGCUUCUAUCUGGAAGGUCACCUUGGUCCCCGCGCGGCUCGGGACCGAGCGCCUGGGCUCUGUGACAUCAGCGUUGGCUUCUCAACCGCUGACCUUCAGGCCCCAGAGCUUGGCCCGACCCUAGAACGGCCACCGCCCUUCACACCGCGGAGGGCGGCGUCCCUCCCACCGCCGCGCCGAAUUCGGGCUUGGCGACUCGCUGGGGGGUCCCGGGCGCCCCCCACCCGCCCCGACGGCCAAGCGCCCGGAGCCCGCCCCACGGCCGCCCCUGAGGGCUGUCGUCCCGACAGGCUCGGUCCACUCCGCCCGCCGAGCCCUCGCCGAGCCCCGCUGCUGUGCUGACUUCAGCCCACAUCGCACCCCAGCCACCAGGGAACUUUCCAGAACGUUGGCCCUCUCUGGGAAGUCCCGAGUCGCCAUCCAGGAGGGAGCGCCCACCUGAGGCCUGGCGGGCUCGGGGCCGGGCCGCACGCGGAGCGCACCCUUCGGGCCCAGCCUCCGGAAGCGCUAUUCAGUCGCCGCGGGGCGCCACCCCUCGGGCCGGGCCCGCCGCUCCAGGGGCACCGACGGCGGCGCAGCAAGACACGGGAGAGCACCGCGCCCCCAGCCCGCCAGGAGCCCCCUGCCCGCCUAGACCUCGCCCGACCCCCCGGAGGCAGCCCGAGCUAAAAUUAGCGCCGAGCGCGCGGCGCGCUCACGUGCGCCCCGCGGGACGGGGUGCGGGGACCAGGCCUUGGAUCGUGAAAGAUCUAGAGCGAUGACUGCUCUCGCUCACCCGUGGAGGCAGAACUUGUCUUAUAUCUCUUUGUCCGGAGAAGUGUUGGCUAAGAUGAUGUUGAAAAAAAGAAGAGCACCUGAACCUCAUUGGAAGCUCCCCGAAGCCUCAGAACCUCCUCCUGGAAGCCCUCUGUGAUUAACCGGAAUCUCAUCCUUACUCAAAAGUUACACAGCUAAAGAAUGGCAAACAGGAAGUCAUUCCCAGGUCAGCUGGACUCUGAGUCUGUGUUUUGGUGACGAAGAUGGGCUAUGAAAUCUAUGUCUUAUUCGGGGUUUUGACUUUUUAUCUCCCAGCCUUCACUUCCCAUCAUCUUCCUAUCUCAGAAGCCCCAUUUAAUGUUGUUAAGAGCCGUAAAUGUAACUGGCCACUAAUGUGGAAGGAUUGUGAUCUCCAGCAAACGGCCCCAGCAAAGAAAGGAGCAGGAAUCCUGGGUCUGUUCCCAACCGUGCCAGUGACUCACUGGAUGACACAAAGUAAUGUGGUUCUUUUGUUGGGGGGAGAGAUGUGAGAAGACGACGCACACAGCUGCUCGCCUGACAGAGGUGAAAGGGUGGAGGAGAAGCCAUUUGACAGGCUCCCAGCAUAGUGGAGGCUCAGGGGUCCCUGGGUGAAUCCAGUUCCAUAGUAACUGCUUAGCAAUGGCCGGCUGGGUCAGCCCUGAGCUCUGGCCCACUUGAGCCCCUGCCUCCGAUGGAGCCGCUAAGAUGGCGUGGGCUGGAUUAUGGCACUUACCCUUCAUGACAUCAUUCUCAUUGGUUAGGAAUGCGCCCUGGUUGUUCCUAACUCCACUUUAAUAACUUGUUAUAGAUCUGCCCUCCAGGAAUUUGUUUGAAACUUUCUUUAAUCUAUUUAUAUUUCAGCCUGUGCAGCCUUUUCAGGCGGCAAGUAGACUGACCAUUUAUGUAAAAGCACUUAGGUCCUAAAACACAGAAAGUGCUAUAUUAGGGUUCUUAUCAUAAUAAAACGUUUGUAAUUAUAAUGUAUUUAAUAAUGAUAUUAUAAUUUGAUGAUAACAGUGAAUUCAGGUGGUCUCACAGGCUUAUUUUUAGUCACUCACUCUGUUUGUCUUUGUCUUUAUCUCCCCACGCACCACUCCCUAGCCAUCAAAAAGUAUUUAUUAAUGGAGUGAGGGGCUGUCAUGGGUAUAACAAUGCAUGCAAACUUAGAUAAACACAUUCAGUGUCCUCUAAAGACUUACCAUCUACCACCAACAUACAGUAGGUGCUCAAUAAAUACUUGUUGGGCGAAUGGAUGGAUGGAAGGAAUUAAAAAAACCUGCGUGGUAACUGGUGAGACAUAUUAGGAAUGACUAUUUUGGGGGUUGGAGAGCAAACCUGAGAGCAUCAUGGGCAAGGAGGGAAAAGGGAACAUCCUGAUUUUCUGGUCAAUGCGCACGUGUGAGCUCUCCUCAGAUUGGCCCUAGAGCUCAUCCUGGAGGAAGAGCUGGUUUCCAGGCUGCUGAAAUGAUGCCUAGAGGAGGCAGGCCAAGGGGCACCCCCAUGGCAGGUGCCAUAUGGGUUGCAGGAGUGAGGAGGCAGGUACGGGGUCCAGAAGAGAAAGACCGGUCCCUGUGGCUAUCUCUAUUUUCAGUAGGAACCACACCGGAAUGUUUUAAAAAUCCCAUGACUCAGUAGGUGAAUGGCCAAAUAAAUUGUGGUACAUCCAAACAAUGGAAUAUUAUUCAAUGCCAAAAAGAAAUGAGCUAUCAAGCCAUGAAAACACAUGGAGGAAACUUAAGUGUGCAUAUCAAUAAGUGAAAGGAGCCAACUGAAAAGGCUAUGUGCUGUAUGAUUCCAACUAUAUGACCUACUGGAAAAGGCAAAACUACGGAGACAGUAAGAAGAUCAGUGGUUGUCAGGGGUUAGUGGGGAGGGAGGGAUGAAUAGGCGGAGCGCAGAGGAUUUUUAGGGCAAACUACUCUGUGUGAUACUGUAAUGGUGCAUAUGUGUCAUUAGACAUUUGUCCAAACCCACGGAACAUACACCACCAAGAGUGAACCCUAAUGUAAACUGUGGACUUUGGGGGAUUACGAUGUGUCAGUGUAGGUUCAUCAGUUGUAACAAAUGUACCACUCUGGUCCAUCUGGUGGGGGAGAGUGUGCAUGUGGGGAGGGCAGGGGGUAUAUGGGAAAUCUCUGUACCUUCUGCUGUUUUGCUGUGAACCUAUAACUGCUCUGCUCUGCAAAAUAAAGUCUGUUUUAAAAUAAA